AGGAAAAGAAACUAACAAGGAUUCCCCUAGUAACGGCGAGUGAAGCGGGAAGAGCUCAAAUUUGAAAUCUGGUAGCCUUCGGUUGCCCGAGUUGUAAUCUAGAGAAGUGUUUUCCGUGCCGGCCCAUGUACAAGUCCCUUGGAACAGGGCGUCAUAGAGGGUGAGAAUCCCGUCCUUGACAUGGACCCCCGGUGCUUUGUGAUACACUUUCAACGAGUCGAGUUGUUUGGGAAUGCAGCUCAAAAUGGGUGGUGAAUUCCAUCUAAAGCUAAAUAUUGGCGAGAGACCGAUAGCGAACAAGUACCGUGAGGGAAAGAUGAAAAGCACUUUGGAAAGAGAGUUAAACAGUACGUGAAAUUGUUGAAAGGGAAACGAUUGAAGUCAGUCAUGCUCUUGGGACUUACCUCCCUUGAGUGGGGUCAACAUCAGUUUUGAUCGAUGGAUAAAGGCACGGGGAAGGUAGCACUCUCGGGUGAACUUAUAGCCUCGCGUCAUAUACAUUGAUUGGGACUGAGGAACGCAGCAUGCCUUAUG
RNAcentral lists this ribosomal RNA (534 nucleotides) under Naganishia albida. RNAcentral's name for it is "partial large subunit ribosomal RNA". It matches the Rfam family "Eukaryotic large subunit ribosomal RNA", at positions 54 to 583 of the family's 3401-position model. The record is from RNAcentral. Lineage: Eukaryota; Fungi; Basidiomycota; Tremellomycetes; Filobasidiales; Filobasidiaceae.